Molecule: ribosomal RNA, 507 nt
Filed under: uncultured bacterium
Lineage: Bacteria
Description: partial 16S ribosomal RNA
Rfam family: Bacterial small subunit ribosomal RNA
Source: RNAcentral
GACGAACGCUGGCGGCGUGCUUAACACAUGCAAGUCGAACGGGCCUUGUCCCCUUUUUUUUGGGGGUGGGGUUAGUGGCGAACGGGUGAGUAACACGUGAGUAACCUGCCCCUCACUUCUGGAUAACCGCUUGAAAGGGUGGCUAAUACGGGGUGUUCUGGCCUGCUCGCAUGGGUGGGUUUGGAAAGAUUCGACCGGUUUUGGUUGUUUUGGUGGGGGAUGGGCUCGCGGCCUAUCAGCUUGUUGGUGGGGUGAUGGCCUGCCAAGGCGUUGACGGGUAGCAGGCCUGAGAGGGUGGGCGGUCACACUGGGACUGAGACACGGCCCAGACUCGUACGGGAGGCAGGAGUGGGGAAUAUGGCACAAGGGGCGCAAGCCUGAUGCAGCGACGCCGCGUGAGGGAUGGAGGCCUUCGGGUUGGGAACCUCUUUCGCCAGUGAAGAAGGUCCUGCUCUUUGUGGUGGGGUUGACGGUAGCUGGGUUAAUGAAGCGCCGGCUAACUACGUG